This 838-nucleotide ribosomal RNA is filed under the name Microbacterium sp. GWS-BW-H60M. Its description in RNAcentral is "bacterial SSU rRNA". It matches the Rfam family "Bacterial small subunit ribosomal RNA", at positions 10 to 856 of the family's 1533-position model. The record is from RNAcentral. Lineage: Bacteria; Bacillati; Actinomycetota; Actinomycetes; Micrococcales; Microbacteriaceae.
AUGUUGAUCCUUGCUCAGGAUGAACGCUGGCGGCCUGCUUAACACAUGCAAGUCGAACGGUGAACACGGAGCUUGCUCUGUGGGAUCUAGUGGCGAACGGGUGAGUAACACGUGAGCAACCUGCCCCUGACUCUGGGAUAAGCGCUGGAAACGGCGUCUAAUACUGGAUACGAGUAGCGACCGCAUGGUCAGUUACUGGAAAGAUUUAUUGGUUGGGGAUGGGCUCGCGGCCUAUCAGCUUGUUGGUGAGGUAAUGGCUCACCAAGGCGUCGACGGGUAGCCGGCCUGAGAGGGUGACCGGCCACACUGGGACUGAGACACGGCCCAGACUCCUACGGGAGGCAGCAGUGGGGAAUAUUGCACAAUGGGCGCAAGCCUGAUGCAGCAACGCCGCGUGAGGGAUGACGGCUUCGGGUUGUAAACCUCUUUUAGYAGGGAAGAAGCGAAAGUGACGGUACCUGCAGAAAAAGCGCCGGCUAACUACGUGCCAGCAGCCGCGGUAAUACGUAGGGCGCAAGCGUUAUCCGGAAUUAUUGGGCGUAAAGAGCUCGUAGGCGGUUUGUCGCGUCUGCUGUGAAAUCCGGAGGCUCAACCUCCGGCCUGCAGUGGGUACGGGCAGACUAGAGUGCGGUAGGGGAGAUUGGAAUUCCUGGUGUAGCGGUGGAAUGCGCAGAUAUCAGGAGGAACACCGAUGGCGAAGGCAGAUCUCUGGGCCGUAACUGACGCUGAGGAGCGAAAGGGUGGGGAGCAAACAGGCUUAGAUACCCUGGUAGUCCACCCCGUAAACGUUGGGAACUAGUUGUGGGGUCCAUUCCACGGAUUCCGUGACGCAGCUAAC